This 301-nucleotide ribosomal RNA is filed under the name uncultured bacterium. RNAcentral describes it as "partial 16S ribosomal RNA". It matches the Rfam family "Bacterial small subunit ribosomal RNA", at positions 509 to 809 of the family's 1533-position model. The record is from RNAcentral.
CAGUAGCCGCGGGAAUACGGAGGGUGCAAGCGUUAUCCGGAUUUAUUGGGUUUAAAGGGUCCGUAGGCGGACUUAUAAGUCAGUGGUGAAAGCCUGUCGCUUAACGAUAGAACUGCCAUUGAUACUGUAAGUCUUGAGUAUAUUUGAGGUAGCUGGAAUAAGUAGUGUAGCGGUGAAAUGCAUAGAUAUUACUUAGAACACCAAUUGCGAAGGCAGGUUACCAGGAUAUAACUGACGCUGAGGGACGAAAGCGUGGGUAGCGAACAGGAUUAGAUACCCCUGUAGUCCCUGUCUCUUAUAA